GGAUAUAACUCAGUGGUAGAGCAUGUGCUUAACAUGCAUGAGGUCCCAGGUUCAAUCCCUAGUACUUCCA
Molecule: transfer RNA, 70 nt
Filed under: Camelus bactrianus (Bactrian camel)
Lineage: Eukaryota; Metazoa; Chordata; Mammalia; Artiodactyla; Camelidae
Also listed under: 1 other name
Rfam family: tRNA
About the family: Transfer RNA (tRNA) molecules are approximately 80 nucleotides in length.
Source: Rfam by way of RNAcentral